Magnolia sinica is the source of this 430-nucleotide long non-coding RNA. RefSeq lists it as uncharacterized. NCBI's taxonomy places the organism in Eukaryota, Viridiplantae, Streptophyta, Magnoliopsida, Magnoliales, Magnoliaceae. The transcript has 2 exons. The record is from RefSeq and is a predicted model, not a curated record.
AAAUUCCAAGCAUAUGCAUCUGUCCAGCGCCAACAGCUUGGCCGCAAAGUGUCUCUAGUGCACUUCCCAUUCCUAGCUACAUGGGAGUGACAACAAAUUGACGAACGUUCAGAUAAAGAGAAGGAUCUUGCAGUUGAGAGGAGAAGUGAAUUGCGCCAGUUUAAUCAGGAGGAAAUGACAAAAACAUUCAGUUACACAGGUUCAUGACCAACUUGGAAGAAACACAAUUGCAGUUUGGAGUCUUGACUGUCCAUAUGAAUGCUAAGGAAAUUGUUAUUUCUGCUUUAUUACACUAAUACUUGCACUUUUGUUCGCAUGCAAAUGCACCUUUUCUUUUACAUGAGAUUGAAACAGAAAGACUCAAAUGAGACUCGACAAUUGUUUGUCUAUGAACUAUUUCCAUAUGAAUUCUGACUGAAACCAUUCACUU